UUUUCGUAAAAUAAACAAGUUGCAGAAUCUAGUCGAAAGUAUACGUCGUUUGUGACCCACUGUGGUCAGUACCAAUUCAAGAGGGUUCCGUUUGGAUUUACUAAUUCACCUGGAGUAUUCCAAAGACAUGUAAAUGGAAUAUGUCGGCAUUUAUCCAAGAGAGGCAUUGCGCUGCCAUACGUUGACGAUGUUAUCAUCUUGGCCAGAGAUGAAGAGGAAGCUGUUAAGAAUCUAAAAGAGGUCCUCUCGAGUCUACUCACAAAGACUAUAAGCAUAUUCUGGCAGUCAUAGAUGCAUUUACGAAGUUCUGCUGGUUAUACCCAACCAAAUCGACGACUAGCAAUGAAGUUAUUACGAAGCUGACGAUUCAAAGCAUG
This is a long non-coding RNA of Drosophila willistoni, 377 nucleotides long. RefSeq lists it as uncharacterized. The record is from RefSeq and is a predicted model, not a curated record. The transcript has 3 exons. NCBI's taxonomy places the organism in Eukaryota, Metazoa, Arthropoda, Insecta, Diptera, Drosophilidae.